This 253-nucleotide ribosomal RNA is filed under the name uncultured bacterium. RNAcentral's name for it is "partial 16S ribosomal RNA". It matches the Rfam family "Bacterial small subunit ribosomal RNA", at positions 524 to 776 of the family's 1533-position model. The record is from RNAcentral.
UACGGAGGGUGCAAGCGUUGUUCGGAAUUACUGGGCGUAAAGAGUGCGUAGGCGGUUCGGCAAGUUGGAAGUGAAAUCCCGGGGCUCAACCUCGGAAUUGCUUUCAAAACUGCUGAUCUAGAGUAUGGUAGGGGAUAGUGGAAUUCCUAGUGUAGGGGUGAAAUCCGUAGAUAUUAGGAGGAACACCAGAGGCGAAGGCGACUAUCUGGGCCAUUACUGACGCUAAGGUACGAAAGCGUGGGGAGCAAACAGG